AAAAGCAUACAACACUUGAAAAUGGUCAGUAGAAAAAUAUUAUGGUAGAAUCAAAUCAUGUUGCCAACAAAAAUGCCACAGCAAACAAUAUCAGCAACCUGAAGGACGACCACCUCCACCAUUUCCUUAGCUAAUUCAUGUGCAUAAAAGCUUACUGACUAUGAGGGUGAAUGAUCAGCAGGUUACAUUUAACAUAUUUGAUGCCCUG
RNAcentral lists this long non-coding RNA (208 nucleotides) under Gossypium barbadense (sea-island cotton). Its description in RNAcentral is "long non-coding RNA (GBAR_LNC022324)". Lineage: Eukaryota; Viridiplantae; Streptophyta; Magnoliopsida; Malvales; Malvaceae. The record is from RNAcentral.